CGUAGGUAACCUGCCUGGUAGCGGGGGAUAACUAUUGGAAACGAUAGCUAAUACCGCAUAAAAUUGAUUAUUGCAUGAUAGUCAAUUAAAAGGUGCAAUUGCAUCACUACCAGAUGGACCUGCGUUGUAUUAGCUAGUUGGUGAGGUAAAGGCUCACCAAGGCAACGAUACAUAGCCGACCUGAGAGGGUGAUCGGCCACACUGGGACUGAGACACGGCCCAG
RNAcentral lists this ribosomal RNA (223 nucleotides) under uncultured bacterium. RNAcentral describes it as "partial 16S ribosomal RNA". It matches the Rfam family "Bacterial small subunit ribosomal RNA", at positions 116 to 334 of the family's 1533-position model. The record is from RNAcentral.